UACGGGCGGGGCAAGCGUUACUCGGAAUCACUGGGCGUAAAGGGUGCGUAGGUGGUAUUGUAAGUAAAGUGUUAAAGCUCCAAGCCCAACUUGGAUAUGCACUUUAUACUGCAAUGCUAGAGUUUGAGAGAGGAGAUAAGAAUUUCUGAAGUAGCGGUGAAAUGCGUUGAUCUCAGAAGGAAUACCAAAGGCGAAAGCAAGUCUCUGGCUCAAUACUGACACUAAGGCACGAAAGCGUGGGGAGCAAACAGG
This 252-nucleotide ribosomal RNA is filed under the name uncultured bacterium. RNAcentral describes it as "partial 16S ribosomal RNA". It matches the Rfam family "Bacterial small subunit ribosomal RNA", at positions 524 to 776 of the family's 1533-position model. The record is from RNAcentral.